CCUACGGGAGGCAGCAGUGGGGAAUAUUGCACAAUGGGGGAAACCCUGAUGCAGCAACGCCGCGUGAGUGAAGAAGUAUUUCGGUAUGUAAAGCUCUAUCAGCAGGGAAGAAAAUGACGGUACCUGACCAAGAAGCCCCGGCUAACUACGUGCCAGCAGCCGCGGUAAUACGUAGGGGGCGAGCGUUAUCCGGAUUUACUGGGUGUAAAGGGAGCGUAGACGGUUCUGCAAGUCUGAAGUGAAAGCCCGGGGCUUAACCUCGGAACGGCUUUGGAAACUGUGGAACUGGAGUGCUGGAGAGGCAAGCGGAAUUCCUGGUGUAGCGGUGAAAUGCGUAGAUAUUAGGAGGAACACCAGUGGCGAAGGCGGCUUGCUGGACAGAAACUGACGUUGAGGCUCGAAAGCGUGGGGAGCAAACAGGAUUAGAUACCCCAGUAGUC
This 440-nucleotide ribosomal RNA is filed under the name uncultured bacterium. RNAcentral describes it as "partial 16S ribosomal RNA". It matches the Rfam family "Bacterial small subunit ribosomal RNA", at positions 338 to 795 of the family's 1533-position model. The record is from RNAcentral.